Long non-coding RNA from Diceros bicornis minor, 2139 nucleotides. RefSeq lists it as uncharacterized. NCBI's taxonomy places the organism in Eukaryota, Metazoa, Chordata, Mammalia, Perissodactyla, Rhinocerotidae. The record is from RefSeq and is a predicted model, not a curated record. The transcript is spliced from 4 exons.
ACAUAUUUGGAAUUUCUGAGUAUUCGUGGCAAGUCUCUCAAAUCUGCUGCCUGGACAGCCAUCUCAGGUUGCAGAAGCAGUUGUUGCAGAACAUCCAGAAAGAACAGUCGUUUCAAGGACAGAAACCAGGACAGAGUACUUUAAGCACUUGCAUAAUCAAAGACUAAAGAAUUGAAUGGAGACACCACGGCACAAGGGUAUGUGGGGCUUCACAAAAAAAUCUCCAAAGCUUUAAGAUCUAUCUCUGAGGAUCACCUCACUUCCUCAUAGCGCUUCUGUAUCAGUCAACAUCCAAUCAAGAGACAGAAAACCACAUACUAACUUGAACAAGGAAAGUUUAUAAACUCCAAUAAGGUCUCAGCUAUUAUGGGGAAAAGAGGUCUCUAAAGAAUUCAAGAAUAGCAUAUGGAAUGAGCAACCACAUCCUUUAGGGUUGAAGCAGAGCAUCUAAAGAAGGAAGAGAUCUGGAAGACUUCCCUACCUGCCCAGAAAGGAUAUGCAGACCUUCUUGUAGAAUGUUUAACUAUGGCUUACCAGAGUAUAGAGAAGCUCGUUUAGAUGAUACACAGUGGAAAUAACUUAGAAGGUUCCCUCUAGGGUACUGGGAGAAACUGUCUACAGGGAGGUGCCAUUUAUUUUGGGCAGCCUUACAAUGCUCACCACCACAUACUGUUGGCUGCUCUGCACUGCAGUGGCAUGCCCAGAGGACGCUAGAGCCAGGAAGACUAGACCCUUUCAUCCACAGUGUCCCUCCAGCGCCCUCUAUUGACAGUUUAACAUUAUGCCACCUGAUAAUGUUUUACAGAUUCAGCUCGAUUAUUGCAGAUCAGGCAAUAAAGGACAGAUUUAGGGCUGAGAGGCAAUAAAUUGAUACUCUAUCAUUAAGUAGAUAAGUAUGAUGUUGAAAUAUCCACGUCCUAGAAAUGCACCAGGAAUGUCAGCAGUGGUUGGAAAGAAUAAUCACCUUUUCAAAGUACUAAUGUUUCCAUCAGGCAGGUACUAGACAUCUCAAAUAUAGAGUCAUUAAUUACAAAAAGGUACAAAUGGAAUAGAAGUCCAUAUAUCUCCUCUGAUUUCUUCUGUUAAAAAAAAAAAAGAGUUCACCAUGCAGUCCUCCAAAUUAAAAUGUGAGAACUUUGAUUUUGGAGAUUCUUUAAUAGCAAAGUAGUGGAAAAAGAAAUGAGGUGGGAAAUUUAAGACCAAGAGUCAUUACUUUCCUCCCAGUAUAUGAUAACUGGAUAUGACUCUUUUUGAACAUUAUACAAUUAACCAUAUGGUUCCUACCUUUUCUUGGAAGAUUCUAGGAAAAUUGCAUUUUCUCAAAUUAAAAUAUUGGGACAACUUACUGAAGAAUUACUAAUAAAUGAUAAAACUUUUAGUUCCCCUUAUCAAAGAAACAUGAACGAACUCUGGGAAAAUAGGGAUGAAUUUGAAUUCUCACAUUCUAAAUAGCUGAAUUAAAAUAGAUAGGUACCAUGUGCCCUCAGUUCAACAUACCUUGAACUGUUUGAAAAAUAUUUUUUUCAGUAUUGAGUUACAGAAUGAAUAUUAUGAAAAACCUAUCUACGGUUGAUGUGGAAAAGUGUUAACUGCCUUCACAUGCCCUGUGGGUUUUCAUUCAUCUGAAAGCGUGUCCAGCAUUGGGAUCCAGAUAAUCUUUUAGUGGAUGAUAAUAACCAUUAACAUUUAUUGAGCAAAUACUGUGUUCCAGGCAGUUAUUAGAGCUUUCCAUAUAUUAAUGCAUUUAAUAGUCACAAGAAGUCAGUGAGAUAAAAAAAACCAUUAUUAUCAUCACUAUUUUACAGUUGAGGAAACUUGCCCAAGUCUAACUUACAGAAGUCAAUGAGAUACUUAAUAACAGAGAAAUUUUAUUAAAUCUAGUUCCAAAAUUUGGUAUAUCGAUCAUACUCUCUUUGUAAUAAUACAGUAACUGAAAACAUGAAGAACUUGGAAGUAUACUUCUAUUUUGAUUACAAAUUCUUUCUUCAGAAUCCUGGAGGACAAAUCAAUGACCCCUUAAAGCCUUCAGCAUCAUCGGUUUAGAAGGACAAGGUUUUGCAAUCUGUGAUGUUAUAUUUUAGGCACAUGAAAAUAAACUUCUUUUGUCUAUUGGCACCUAUUUUUGAGAAUUAAAAUUUU